GGGGAUGUAGCUCAGCGGUAGAGCGCUUGCUUUGCAUGCAAGAGGCCCUGGGUUCAACCCCCAGCAUCUCCA
Non-coding RNA from Calypte anna (Anna's hummingbird), 72 nucleotides. The record is from Rfam. Lineage: Eukaryota; Metazoa; Chordata; Aves; Apodiformes; Trochilidae.